GGUAGAUAUGGAUUUUUAACUACCCAUGCAAGAUGACCAGAUCAGAUACAGAUAACGGUAAUUUGCUCAGGUACAUUUUCGACUUACCAAACUAUGGUACGAUCUAUGACCACGAUUGUACCAACCACUGUAGUCCUAUCAGGUAUUCAAUAGCCACGACAAUACUUAGCCAAAGACGACCUCUAACAGUUAUUCACAUCACUACUCUCAUCAGAGGGUAUGUCGUCAUCCAC
RNAcentral lists this long non-coding RNA (233 nucleotides) under Carica papaya (papaya). RNAcentral's name for it is "long non-coding RNA (CPAP_LNC009660)". Lineage: Eukaryota; Viridiplantae; Streptophyta; Magnoliopsida; Brassicales; Caricaceae. The record is from RNAcentral.